UACGGGGGGAGCAAGCGUUGUUCGGAUUUACUGGGCGUAAAGGGCGCGUAGGCGGCCACCGCAAGUCGAUUGUGAAAUCUCCGGGCUUAACCCGGAAAGGUCAACCGAUACUGCGGGGCUAGAGUGCAGAAGGGGCAACUGGAAUUCUCGGUGUAGCGGUGAAAUGCGUAGAUAUCGAGAGGAACACCUGCGGCGAAGGCGGGUAGCUGGGCCAACACUGACGCUGAUGUGCGAAAGCUAGGGGAGCAAACGGG
This 254-nucleotide ribosomal RNA is filed under the name uncultured bacterium. RNAcentral describes it as "partial 16S ribosomal RNA". It matches the Rfam family "Bacterial small subunit ribosomal RNA", at positions 524 to 776 of the family's 1533-position model. The record is from RNAcentral.